ACCAGCUUAAAGAUACAAGCAAUGUCAUUGAUUGGCAUGGAACACCAUUUGUUUGUGUUAAUGGAAUCGUUAUACCAUACGAACAUGAAUGUAACGGAAAAGUUGAUUGUACGGAUGUUUCGGACGAGAAUAAUUGCACAAGAGGGCAUAAAUUAUUAACAACUAUGAUUAUACCCGAGGUAGAGCCUUUAAUGUCAAGUGAAAUAUUGUUCCAUUGUGAAAGUCAUGAAUGGGUUUUGAUCAUUGCAAGAUGUGACGGUGUAAUUGAUUGUAUGGAUGCCUCUGAUGAGAAGAACUGUGCAAUAAACAGUCAGAAUUCCAACUGUGCUCAAUAUCAUUUCGAAUGCUUAACUGGGGGCUGCAUUCAUAUAAGUCAAGUUUGUGACUUUAUUUUCGACUGUCCGGACUCAUCUGACGAAAGUUGUG
Long non-coding RNA from Ruditapes philippinarum (Manila clam), 426 nucleotides. RefSeq lists it as uncharacterized. The record is from RefSeq and is a predicted model, not a curated record. The transcript is spliced from 3 exons. Lineage: Eukaryota; Metazoa; Mollusca; Bivalvia; Venerida; Veneridae.